RNAcentral lists this non-coding RNA (117 nucleotides) under Nomascus leucogenys (northern white-cheeked gibbon). The record is from Rfam by way of RNAcentral. Lineage: Eukaryota; Metazoa; Chordata; Mammalia; Primates; Hylobatidae.
GCCGGGUGUGGUGGCUCACGCCUGUAAUCCCUGCACUUUGGGAGGCCGAGGCGGGUGGAUCACCUGAGGUCAGGAGUUCGAGGCCAGCCUGGCCAACAUGGUGAAACCCUGUCUCUA